ACAAACUUGGUCAUUUAGAGGAAGUAAAAGUCGUAACAAGGUUUCCGUAGGUGAACCUGCGGAAGGAUCAUUAACAAAGGAGAAAUUGUCUCGUUGAGGGUGGGGUGUCAAGCCCCUUCUCUACGCCGACAACCACAAACCCCUUUGAGUCGCAUUGUUGUUUACUUUAUCAGGUUUAUCAAUUGUUUUUGGCAGUCUAGUACGGGGGGAGUGUGUACUCUCUCCGUUACGUACAUCUAGUGAAAUAAAAGCUAGGCGGGGGACUGCCAAAAGUAAAAACAUUUGAUAUACCCAAAACAAACUCUUGCUUAUCUUUUUUAUUGUCUGAAUGUAAAAUUUCUAUAUUUUGCAAAUUAAAAACAACUUUUGACAACGGAUCUCUUGGCUCUCGCAUCGAUGAAGAACGCAGC
Molecule: unclassified non-coding RNA, 410 nt
Filed under: uncultured fungus
Lineage: Eukaryota; Fungi
Description: partial contains small subunit ribosomal RNA, internal transcribed spacer 1, and 5.8S ribosomal RNA
Rfam family: Eukaryotic small subunit ribosomal RNA (bases 1-73)
Source: RNAcentral